GAGGAUUAGCUCAGCUGGGAGAGCAUCUGCCUUACAAGCAGAGGGUCGGCGGUUCGAUCCCGUUAAUCAGAGGGUCGAAGGUUCGAGUCCUUCAUGGCUCACCA
RNAcentral lists this transfer RNA (104 nucleotides) under Bacillus sp. ISL-18. RNAcentral describes it as "tRNA-Val". The stretch from base 4 to 69 matches the Rfam family "tRNA". Rfam says of the family: Transfer RNA (tRNA) molecules are approximately 80 nucleotides in length. Their secondary structure includes four short double-helical elements and three loops (D, anti-codon, and T loops). Further hydrogen bonds mediate the characteristic L-shaped molecular structure. tRNAs have two regions of fundamental functional importance: the anti-codon, which is responsible for specific mRNA codon recognition, and the 3' end, to which the tRNAs corresponding amino acid is attached (by aminoacyl-tRNA synthetases). tRNAs cope with the degeneracy of the genetic code in two manners: having more than one tRNA (with a specific anti-codon) for a particular amino acid; and 'wobble' base-pairing, i.e. permitting non-standard base-pairing at the 3rd anti-codon position. The record is from RNAcentral. Lineage: Bacteria; Bacillati; Bacillota; Bacilli; Caryophanales; Bacillaceae.